UACGGGGGGGGUAAGCGUUGUUCGGAAUUACUGGGCGUAAAGGGCUCGUAGGCGGCCAACUAAGUCAGACGUGAAAUCCCUCAGCUUAACUGGGGAACUGCGUCUGAUACUGGAUGGCUUGGAUUCGGGAGAGGGAAUGCGGAAUUCCAGGUGUAGCGGUGAAAUGCGUAGAUAUCUGGAGGAACACCGGUGGCGAAGGCGGCAUUCUGGACCGACAUUGACGCUGAGGAGCGAAAGCCAGGGGAGCAACGGG
This 253-nucleotide ribosomal RNA is filed under the name uncultured bacterium. Its description in RNAcentral is "partial 16S ribosomal RNA". It matches the Rfam family "Bacterial small subunit ribosomal RNA", at positions 524 to 775 of the family's 1533-position model. The record is from RNAcentral.